Molecule: ribosomal RNA, 494 nt
Filed under: uncultured bacterium
Lineage: Bacteria
Description: partial 16S ribosomal RNA
Rfam family: Bacterial small subunit ribosomal RNA
Source: RNAcentral
GACGAACGCUGGCGGCGUGCUUAACACAUGCAAGUCGAACGGUGAAGCGCCUUCCUUUUUGGUGGGUGUGGAUGAGUGGCGAACGGGUGAGUAACACGUGAGUAACCUGCCCCCUUCUUAUGGAUAACCGCAUGAAAGUGUGGCUAAUACGGGAUAUUCUGGGUCUGUCGCAUGAUGGGUCUGGGAAAGAUAUUGUUUCGGUGGGGGAUGGGCUCGCGGCCUAUCAGCUUGUUGGUGGGGUGAUGGCCUACCAAGGCGGUGACGGGUAGCCGGCCUGAGAGGGUGGACGGCAACAGUGGGACGGAGACACGGCCAAGACUCCUACGGGAGGCAGCAGGGGGGAAUAGUGCACAAUGGGCGCAAGCCUGAUGCAGCGACGCCGCGUGAGGGAUGGAGGCCUUCGGGUUGUGAACCUCUUUCGCCAGUGAAGCAGGCCUGCCUCGUUUGUGGGUGGGUUGACGGUAGCUGGAUAAGAAGCGCCGGCUAACUACGUG